GGGGACACCCAAGGGUGCAGGGUUUAUACUGCCAGGGGGCAGGGGCACCCAUGGGUGCAGGGUUUGUGAUGCCAGGGGUCAGGGUUUGUAAUGCCAGGGGUGAGGGACACCCAUGGGUGCAGGGUAGGCAAUGCUGAAGGUCAAGAACACCCACGGGAGCAGGGUUUGCAAUGCCAGGGGCCACCCAUGGGUGCAGGGUUUGUAAUGCCAGGGGUCAGGGUUUGUAAUGCCAGGGGACACCCGUGGGUGCAGGUUGGGAACUGCCAGGGGUCGGGGGCACCCGUGGGUGCAGGGUGUGCAAUGGCAGGGGUCAGGGUUUGUAAUGCCAGGGGACACCCAAGGGUGCAGGGUUUGUAAUGCCAGGGGUCAGGGGCACCCAUAGGUGCAGGGUUUGUGAUGCCAGGGGACACCCAAGGGUGCAGGUUGGGAACUGCCAGGGGUGAGGGGCAGCCGUGGGUGCAGGGUGUGCAAUGGCAGGGGUCAGGGUUUGUAAUGCCAGGGGACACCCAAGGGUGCAGGGUUUAUACUGCCAGGGGUCAGGGGCACCCAUGGGUGCAGGGUUUGUGAUGCCAGGGGUCAGGGUUUGUAAUGCCAGGGGACACCCAAGGGUGCAGGUUGGGAACUGCCAGGGGUGAGGGGCACCCGUGGGUGCAGGGUGGGCAACAGCAGGGGUCAGGGGUGCCCGUGGGUGCAGGGUGGGCAAUGCUGAAGGUCAAGAACACCCAUGGGAGCAGGGUUUGUAACGCCAGGGGCCAGGAGCACCCACGGGAGCAGGGUUUGCAAUGCCAGGGGCCACCCGUGGGUGCAGGGCGGGCACUGCCGGGGUCCGGGAGCACCCAUGGGUGCGGGCUCACCCUCGGUGCAGCGGCACUCGUAGCCGUUGGGCCGGUCGAUGCACUUGGCGCCGUUCUGGCAGGGGGUGCUGGCGCACUCGUCCAUGUCCGUCUGGCACGUGGGGCCCGAGAAGCCGGGGGGGCAGGUGCAGAUGGCGCGGCCGUUGACGGGGUUGGUGUCGCAGACGGCGUCCUCGUGGCACGGGUUGCUGACGCAGGCAUCGUCCAGGUGGCACAGCAGCCCUACAAAAGGGGUGGGGGGCGCGGGGGGGGGACACCCCACAAUGGGAACUCCCCCCCCACACGCACAUUGGGUGCCCACCCCCAGCCAGGGUGCCCGUGGGGUGAUGGCCAAGCCGUGCCAAAGGCACCCAACGUGAGCCAGAGGCACCCCGAGGUGCUCGACCCGUGCCGUGGUGCUUCUGGGGGUGCCCACCCCAUAACGGGGUGCCCACGGGGUGAUGCCCACCCCAUGCCAUUGAUACCCAACCCGCACCAGGACCACCCUAAGGUGCCCAACCCCGUGCCAUUGACACCCAACCUAUGCCAAAAACAACCCCAAGGUGCCCAACUCCAUGCCACGAUGCUUCUGGGGGUGCCCAUGGGGUGAUGCCCACCCUGUACCGUUGACACCCAACCAGUGCCAAAGCCACCCAUAGGUGCCCAGCCCCAUGUCAUGAUGCUUCUGGGGGUGCCCACCCCAUGCCAUUGACACCCAACCCGCACCAGGACCACCCCAAGGCACCCAACCCCAUGCCACUACCACCCAAACCACCCCAAGGCACGCACCCCAUUACACCAUUCCUCUCUGGGUGCCCACCCCAUAACUGGGUGCCCUUGGGGUGAAGCCCACCCCAUGAAAGCACCACCCAACCCACACCAGGACCACCCAACCCACACCAGGACCACCCCAAGGC
RNAcentral lists this long non-coding RNA (1750 nucleotides) under Anser cygnoides (Swan goose). Its description in RNAcentral is "lncRNA (ENSACDG00005015194.1)". The record is from RNAcentral. Lineage: Eukaryota; Metazoa; Chordata; Aves; Anseriformes; Anatidae.